RNAcentral lists this unclassified non-coding RNA (200 nucleotides) under soil metagenome. RNAcentral's name for it is "partial contains internal transcribed spacer 2 and large subunit ribosomal RNA". The record is from RNAcentral.
UCAUUAUCAACCCUCAAGCCUGGCUUGCUGUUGGACCUCUCGUCGUUAAAAGACGGGUCCUAAAGUUAAUGGCGGAGUCGUCGGACCCUAGAUGCAACGAGCUCUCGUAGCACGCAUUCAAGGGGCUCACGGCUCUAGUCUCAACCCAUAUCAUUUACAAGGUUGACCUCGGAUCAGGUAGGAAUACCCGCUGAACUUAA